GGCUUUAUAUUCAAACAAUGAUUUUAAAUUGCAAAUUUAAAGGUGAAUUAUAUUCUAAAGCUU
This 63-nucleotide transfer RNA is filed under the name Neobisnius villosulus. Its description in RNAcentral is "tRNA-Cys". The record is from RNAcentral. Lineage: Eukaryota; Metazoa; Arthropoda; Insecta; Coleoptera; Staphylinidae.